This 390-nucleotide long non-coding RNA is filed under the name Mytilus galloprovincialis (Mediterranean mussel). Lineage: Eukaryota; Metazoa; Mollusca; Bivalvia; Mytilida; Mytilidae. The record is from RNAcentral.
AAAAAAUGUAGAAAAAAUUAUGGAAUCUUAUGAAGAAUUAUGUAAUUAAGGCCUAGAUUGAGUUUAAACAAUGUAGAAAAUCGAUAUUAACAAUAGAGAUAAUUUGGAUUGCUUUAAAAAUGAAUAGAGAAAAAACAUUUAAAAAUUAGAACAAAGGGUCUAAAUAAUUGCAGUAAUGAGGACCCCUCGAAUCAGAAAUUUACCAAACUUACUAUAUUCUUAAAACAAUGGCAUUCUUGACUUACAAUCAAAAAGUACCAGUGGGCCUCUUGUUUUGUUUUGAGCUAAAACCUGUGAUAUUUUAUUGAAUAUUGACCAAUUUAUUGUAAAUAAAAUCAGUAACAUUUGUAUACCUUUUGUCUGUUAUGCCAAUUUGACUGUGAUUUAAUU